AACGAACGCUGGCGGCAUGCCUAACACAUGCAAGUCGAACGAGACCUUCGGGUCUAGUGGCGCACGUGUGCGUAACGCGUGGGAACCUGCCCUUAGGUUCGGAAUAACUCCCCGAAAGGGGUGCUCAUACCGGAUAAUGUCUUCGGACCAAAGAGUUAUCGCCUUGGGAUGGGCCCGCGUUGGAUUCGCUAGUUGGUAGGGUAAAAGCCUAUCAAGGCGACGAUCCAUAGCUGGGCUGGGAGGAUGAUCAGCCACACUGGGACUGAGACACGGCCCAGACUCCUACGCGAGGCAGCAGUGGGGAAUAUUGGACAAGGGGCGAAAGUCUGAUCCAGCAAUGCCGCGUGAGUGAUGAAGGCCUUAGGGUUGUAAAGCUCUUUUACCCGGGAUGAUAAUGACAGUACCGGGAGAAUAAGCUCCGGCUAACUCCGUG
RNAcentral lists this ribosomal RNA (433 nucleotides) under uncultured bacterium. Its description in RNAcentral is "partial 16S ribosomal RNA". It matches the Rfam family "Bacterial small subunit ribosomal RNA", at positions 29 to 507 of the family's 1533-position model. The record is from RNAcentral.